RNAcentral lists this ribosomal RNA (435 nucleotides) under uncultured bacterium. RNAcentral's name for it is "bacterial SSU rRNA". It matches the Rfam family "Bacterial small subunit ribosomal RNA", at positions 8 to 488 of the family's 1533-position model. The record is from RNAcentral.
AGAGUUUGAUCAUGGCUCAGAACGUACGCUGGCGGCACGCCUAACACAUGCAAGUCGAACGAAGUAGCAAUACUUAGUGGCAGACGGGUGAGUAACAUGUAGGUAUCUGCCCUUUGGCCUGGAAUAACACGAGGAAACUUGUGCUAAUACCGGAUAAGUCUUUACGGAGAAAGCUUUAUGCACCAUUGGAUGAGCCUGCACUUGAUUAGUUUGUUGGUGGGGUAAUGGCCUACCAAGACUGUGAUCAAUAGCUGAUUUGAGAGGAGGAUCAGCCACAUUGGGACUGAGACACGGCCCAAACUCCUACGGGAGGCAGCAGUGGGGAAUCUUGCACAAUGGAGGAAACUCUGAUGCAGCGAUGCCGCGUGAGUGAAGAAGGCCCUUGGGUUGUAAAGCUCUUUCGUCGGGGAAGAAAAUGACUGUACCCGAAUAAGA